CCAGACUCCUACGGGAGGCAGCAGUGGGGAAUAUUGCACAAUGGGGGAAACCCUGAUGCAGCGACGCCGCGUGAAGGAAGAAGUAUUUCGGUAUGUAAACUUCUAUCAGCAGGGAAGAUAAUGACGGUACCUGACUAAGAAGCCCCGGCUAACUACGUGCCAGCAGCCGCGGUAAUACGUAGGGGGCAAGCGUUAUCCGGAUUUACUGGGUGUAAAGGGAGCGUAGACGGCUGCGCAAGUCUGAAGUGAAAGCCCGGGGCUCAACCCCGGGACUGCUUUGGAAACUGUGUAGCUAGAGUGCUGGAGAGGCAAGCGGAAUUCCUAGUGUAGCGGUGAAAUGCGUAGAUAUUAGGAAGAACACCAGUGGCGAAGGCGGCUUGCUGGACAGUAACUGACGCUGAGGCACGAAAGCGUGGGUAUCGAACAGGAUUAGAUACCCGAGUA
Molecule: ribosomal RNA, 444 nt
Filed under: uncultured bacterium
Lineage: Bacteria
Description: bacterial SSU rRNA
Rfam family: Bacterial small subunit ribosomal RNA
Source: RNAcentral